CGGACGGGUGAGUAACACGUGGGUAACCUACCUAUAAGACUGGGACAACUUCGGGAAACUGGAGCUAAUACCGGAUAAGAUAUCGAACCGCAUGGUUCGAUAGUGAAAGAUGGUUUUGCUAUCACUUAUAGAUGGACCCGCGCCGUAUUAGCUAGUUGGUGAGGUAACGGCUCACCAAGGCAACGAUACGUAGCCGACCUGAGAGGGUGAUCGGCCACACUGGAACUGAGACACGGUCCAGACUCCUACGGGAGGCAGCAGAG
RNAcentral lists this ribosomal RNA (263 nucleotides) under uncultured Staphylococcus sp. RNAcentral describes it as "partial 16S ribosomal RNA". It matches the Rfam family "Bacterial small subunit ribosomal RNA", at positions 99 to 354 of the family's 1533-position model. Lineage: Bacteria; Bacillati; Bacillota; Bacilli; Caryophanales; Staphylococcaceae. The record is from RNAcentral.